RNAcentral lists this long non-coding RNA (753 nucleotides) under Pan troglodytes (chimpanzee). RNAcentral's name for it is "long non-coding RNA NONPTRT003880". The record is from RNAcentral. Lineage: Eukaryota; Metazoa; Chordata; Mammalia; Primates; Hominidae.
CAGGGAUUGACUGGAGGGAGGCAAGCUGGAGGAAGCAUUCUUUGUGCUUUGUUCUCCUUUGACGUUGAAUGUCUCAAUGCCUGGGUCCCACAGUCUCUCGCUUCAUCUUUCUCACUGUUCCCAUCUUGACAGGGUGUGGGCUCCCGCCUGGAUGGUCUUCGAAACCGGGGCCCAGGUUGCACCUGGGAUUCUCUACGAAAUUCAGUAGGAGAGAAGAUCCUGUCCCUCCGCAGUUGCUCCCUGGGCUCCCUGGGUGCCCUGGGCCCUGCCUGCUGCCGUGUCCUCAGUGAGCUCUCUGAGGAGCAGGCCUUUCACGUCAGCUACCUGGAUAUUGAGGAGCUGAGCCUGAGUGGACUCUGCCAGUGCCUGGUGGAACUGUCCACCCAGCCGGCCACUGUGUGUCAUGGCUCUGCAACCACCAGGGAGGCAGCCCGUGGUGAGGCUGCCCGCCGUGCCCUGCAGUACCUCAAGAUCAUGGCAGGCAGCAAGUGAAGCCCCAGCUGGACUCAUGGAUGUGCACCCUUUGCUCCCUGCUCUUUCUGCCUCUGGGCUCAUGUAUCUGCGCAGCUCUGGUACCCUCUGUGGGUGCCAUCUCUACCUCUGACACAGACUGCCUGCCUUGAAGCUGAGAAGGCACAGGGCAAGGAGCCAAGGACCACAGAGCCUCAGCCAGCCCAGGAUCCGUCCUCAUUUUAUUGGUGAUGAUGAAUGGGAAUGAAAUCGGGGGGCUGUCUACUAGAGCCUGGAAUAAAU